UAUCUGAGCAAUAACACAGCCAGCUGCCUUCAAAGGGAAGGGUGGGUCAGCGCCUAUCUCAGCAAGGAGAAAGGGGUGGGGAAAAGGCACACUGACAAAUAUGGCCUAUUUUUUAAUGAUUGCCACUCAGUUCCUGUUAGAAAGGACAAAAGGGCUGAACGUGAUUCUCUGGGUAUUUUACUGAGGAAUUAAGCUGUUGACGGAUGAAGGUAGCAACAGCCAGCACCGCUAAUGCAACCACCUCCUCUUUCACCAGUAGUUCCCCCCUGUAAUGGUUGUGUACUCACAGUACGGCCUCUCGAACAACUUCUUCUGUCUGAAUCAUCACAAAUUUUCUUUGGGGCACGGCAGAUGAGAAAAAGGAGUUGGUGACUCAUGCCUAUAAGCUCUUGAGUUCCUUUGGAGUGGGAACUUUCCAUGCCGCUCCAGAAGACCUGGCAGUGGUUUUGUGAUAGCUUGUCCAAAUUUUUGACACACCGCUUGGGUCGGUCCUCGUUUGGCUUCCAGAAGCAGACCAUCAUAGUCUGGUGGAGUUCUGUCUCCCAGGGAGGAUACUGAUUUUCCCUAGAAGCCCAUCAGCUGCAGCAUCCGUACAGCUGCUAAAACCUGCCUUGAUCAUUCGUCAGCAUGACUGAUACAAUUCUGAAUGCUGCCUGGAUGUUGAAAAGAACAUAAUAUGUAGUAAAGGACAGGGAAGUCCUAUGUUUCCAAAGAGUCAUUUUGCAAUUGAACUCACACAUUUCAUUAAUGGAACAGAGCGUUAUCUUCAGUGAAACAAAAUGCUGUAUUUUAUGUCAAAUUCCAGUAUCUCACUGAUCUAACAUUUCUGCACAGAAUUGUAGUAUCAUAGAAUCAUUAAGGUUGGAAAAAACCAUGAAGAUCAUCUAGUCAAACCGUCAACCCUUCAUCACUAUGCCCACUGACCACGUCCCUGUUUCACUCAUGCAUGCAUUGAGAUUUGUACUUAAAAAAAUUACAGCCUAUCUCAGGGUUGGUGCCAAGUCUGCUGUGAGACAUGGUCAUAGGAGUAACAUAAGAAACAAAAGUGGUACAGAAUGGUACGUUUUGAUUAAAAUGCCAUCACGUAUAGCUAAGGUUUAAAAACAAAUCUCAGAGCUUCUGAGGUGUGUCGUCUGCCUGGUACCAACUUUAUUAUUGUCAUAAAAAGUAGUUCCUAGGAAACAAAAGAAGACAGAAAGUAGUGGCAGAUUACAAGCUGCAAAAGCAACAGUGAUUUUUUCUGAGGCAAAAAUAACAGGUGAGCUAUUCAUUUUGAAAAUUCCUUCGGAUUUCUUGCCGAAGGUAGGUUAUAUACGGUGACAGUGGCAUUUUGGUACCUUCCCACCGUGCCUGCUCAAGCCUCCCAUUCCUUGUAGCUAUGUGAUCCACAUGGAAAUCCACAUGGGCUUAGUUUUCCUGUACAUGAUGCGCUGUUACAACUUUCCCAUGUACACAGUGAAUUUGAAAAACUGUUGCUCUGAACAGGUGCCCCUAAUCCCAAUUUUGCCCUUUCUUGCUCAGAUAUCACCAUCUACACGAGGCUGAGGGCAGCAGAAGAGCAGAUCUCUUGGCUUUAUCUGUCUUCUCCUACCCUGUAAAAUACAAACAGGGCAGGCUGUCUGCCCAGGGAUGCUGGAAGCACCGAACAGCAGUUGGGAGCAUGUCCCAGCAAGCUCCAGCUUGCUCACAGGUUGCUAAGUUACUUAAAUCCAUUGCAUAGAACAGAACCGUAUUGCCACAAAACAUCAGAACCUGACUUAGUUUUUAGUAACUCAUUAAAAUGACUCUACGAUUCUUUUGAUGUUCCGUACUAGUCUGGUCACAUUCCUUUCUGUUUUAUAGCACGGUAAUAACAACAUUCUUGUAAACAGUCAUAUAAACUCUAACCUUCAUAUUGCUCUCUUCAGAUCAUCUGAAAGCGUUUUCACAUUGAGAUUUGGCUUUCUUCCCCCCAUAAAGCAUAUCCCACCCUAAUAACCCAGGCCAUCAAGGGAGCAGGGGGAGAGAAUAAGGAUGCAAAAGUUGAUUAGUGGGUUACUUGUUUAGGGCAGUCAUACCAUCCUGUAGUAGCAGAAGUGUUUUGCAAACAUCACCUUUAUAAAUCCAUUAUUUAGAGCUUCCAGGGCUCCCAUUCCCUUCAGAAGUAACUCUCCUGUAGACACAGACUCCAGUUGUUUGGCAAUUAGCAGCCUAUAUUCUCUUCAUUGGUAACAACACACCGCCAUCCCUUACUUGAUCUACAGGGGAAAUAUAUGCCAGGUGCUUGAGCUAUCUGUUAUGUUGUUGGUAGUGAAGAAUUACAGAAGUAGAGUUGGCUUCAGAGGCAAAAAAAAAUAUAGACACACUGGUUCAGCAAUGCUGUUGUUGCUCAGUGAUAGCACUGGGUAAAAGCAAGACAACUGGCUUUGGCUGCAGCAAUGUGCGCUGGAGGUGUGGCGGGAGGACAGGCAGCAGUUUCCUGAUGUCUCUGGUCAAAGGCUUGGCACUUAAGCAUUUACUCAAACAAAAGGGCCAAGGAUAAGGGACUGCACCCUUCGCAAACAACACGGCAUAUGGACAUGCACUCACAUGCAAAGAAUUUACAUCGGCUGAGCAGAUUUCCAGGCAGUCGGUUUAAGAUGAUGUAAACCCACAGAAAUGCAAGAUGAUUUGAACUGCGCCACAUCCAUGACAGUUGGUCGGCAGAGAUAUUAGCCAAUGAUGGUAGAAGAUACUUACGUGAAAAUGUUCGUAAGUAGGAAUGCUUAAAUAUAACUACAGUUAUUUCUUUGAGGACCAGAAAUAUAUUUAACCGGUUGCUUAAGCUAAUAUUUACAGAUGUAAGCUUCAGCAGUUAUCCCAGAGACAGGAAAAUACCUGAAAAUAGUAUCACCUUAUGCUAUUUGUUUGCUGAAUAAGUGGUUUGGUAAGAAAGAAAACUGCAAAAAUAGUAAUGGGUUUUUACCCAUUUUAAGUCUUACCAUGCUACAGUCAAUAUUACGUAAUAUCAUGGUGAAAACUUUGUUAGCAAAUUGAAAGAGCUAAAUUUUCUAUAAACUAUGGAUAAAAAAAAGUUUUUAAGUAUCUCAAAAUUUUCAAGUUAACAAGAACAGAAUAUCAGCACUUAUCCUCUUUCCUCAUUAAAACCUGGCAUCUUUCAGGUCAGACAUUCUGAAGGUACCUGCAGAACUUCAUAUUAAACUACCUGUUCUUUCCCUCUAUGUGCUGAAAGUAUUUUGCUCCUUUAGAAUUUAUAAUUACCUUAGAUAAUGACUUCUUAGGACUCAGCGUCACAAUCAUAUUACUGUAAUCUAACAAAUGACCAUGAAUCAACUGAACAGAAAUAAUGGCUUAUGUAUGUAUUCUUAGUGAUUGGCAAAUGAGACAUUUCUGACACUAAAAGAGCAUUACCUAAGAUAGUGCAAGGGGCUUAGGAUCAUGAACAUAUGGGACAUUACAUAUUGUCUCGACUUUGCUGAUGUUAGGAAUCUUUUUAAACUGUAUUCUUUUGUGGAUUGGGACCUUUGCUUGCUUAUAGCCACAGAAUCGUGGAAUGGCCGAGGUUGGAAGAGGUAUCUGGAGUCAUAUGGCCCAUCCCUGCUCCAGCGGGACAACCCAGAGCAGGGUGCCCAGGCCCACAUCCAGGUGGCUUUUGGAGAUCUCCAAAGAGGAGACCCUCUCUGUGUCCCCGUGCCAGUGCUCUGUCUCCUGUAUAGCACUGAAGUGCCUCCUGAUGGACAGGGAGAACCUCCUGUGCCCCAGUUUGCACCCGUCACCUCUUGUCCUAGCACUGGGCACCACUGACAAGAGCUUGUUCGUGUCUUCUUUGCACCUUUCAGGGUGGUCUUAUAAGCCUUUAAGAUGUAGCUCCGAAAGGUAGGCUUUACAUAAGAGCUUCAGCUAAUGUGAGAACUUUGUAAAAUCCUAAAUAAUGUCUCUGAAAUUAUGGGUAUCUGAUCUAUUUCUCUGCAGGGGAAAAAAUCUCCUAAUGACUCUGACCUUCUACUGACAGGUUUUUCUGUUGACUUGAACAUUGCGGGAGUGGCUGCUUAAAGCUGGAAAUUCCCACCCAUUUUCCACUGUCUCUCCCAGGAGACCAGCAGAUGUUUGUUAUUAACUUUUAGCAGAUAGAUUUCUUGUUGAUAACUUAGUUUACCUUUUUAUUGCACAGAGGAAGCUGGGAAAUGCAUUGUUAUGAAGCACAACCUUUAAAAAUAUCUCCAUAUCCCAGAUUUUCUGUAAUAUUUCUGAAAAACAAUGUGUUUUCAAGGAACAGAGAUGAUUGGUUGAGUUUUCAAGCAUUUUAAAAUUUUGAAAUUAAAUGUAGCUUAGUAAUUAGUAUCCUGAUCAACCGAAUCUCAGUGUACCUGAAGAUCUCUUUUGUAUUAUCUGUAAGAUACACGGCAAUCUUCCUUGCAAAAUUAUUUGAAAUUUUUAUGAACAAAUUACAAAUCUACAAAUUAAAAUUUACUGGCUUGUCUUUUCCUGUAAUCAAAUCAGAAUGGUGUUGCCAAAAGAGACUUCUAUUUGCUUGAAACAGAUCUUGCGCAGAGCCUUUUCAGCAUCUCUGGUUUCAUUUGGGACUUUUUGGCAAUUUUUGGCAAUAUUCUUGGCAAUGGAUAUGUUUCUCAAUGAAAAAUUGAAUUUUGAAGCAAACAACUGAAAAUAUUUUCUCCUAAAAUCUUUCAUGAAAAGACACAUUAUCGAAUUGAAUGUUUUCUGUGUCCAUUAAUGGUCACAGUGAAUGACACGCUGAUAAAGCAGGGAUCACAGGUUGCAUCUGUUCAUCUUGUGCGUGAUUCAAGUCAACUGCUUCAUCUCUUGCAUGUAAGGAAUCCUGAUGGCACUGAAGUUUCUUUGUGCUGUGGAAGCAUGCACUAUUAAUAGUAAUAAUUGCCUUUAGCUUUCUGACAGAGCAGUGUAUUUUCACUGUACCAAGAGAGAUGCCAUCAGCUUUCAGCAGUUUAAAUUAUAUUCAGGUUAACAGAGUCAAUGCUUUGUCCAAUUAAUGAAAUUACACUAAUGACAAAUAGCCAAAGAAGCAGCUGUAAUAUUUGAUGCCUAAUUGCUAUCCAAACCGCUUGUAAAGAACAAAUUACCGUGACUAUCCUAUUAAAAUAUAAAACUGCGUGCAUGAAGACACACAGCUAGGAGUGCUCAGUGCUAGGGAGGUUUAAGACAUGAUUGAUCUUCUCCUGCAUGUACACAAUUGUCAGUGUACGUGCAAACUGAACAUGAAUUUGAGCCCAUCUACAUCCAAGUGGUGCAUGUUCUCUGGCUAGACAAGGGGCAUAUCAAUGGUCAGUCGUGCAUAUCAGCAUAGCAGCAGUCACAUCUAACAUGUGAACUCAGUUUCUCAUCACUGUGUAGAAACAUCCUGUAGCCAAGAGGAAGAAGUGUCUCAGCAAAAACUUGGGGUGUGCUCCCUCAGAUGAGCCUUGUUUGUGCCAUACCUCAUGCUCCUGUUUUGAGUACAUCUUUUUAGGUUAAUGUCCAUGACUGUCAACUGAAGACUUGUCUGAGGUGUAACAGAAAUGGCCAAACUCUUCCCUUGGUUCCUAGGGUGUUGCAUCAUAAAUGUAAGUAAUAACAACCUGUGGCUAUCAUAAUUAAUAGGCCUACUUCUACGCUUCGAACUGAGAAGGCUCUACUGGCGCAAGGAACACCAUGCUGCUCACUAGCCGGGGAAAACCUUCAUCAAGAAACUCAUAAAUAAAUCAAUCUAUUUCCCCAGAUUACUCACCCCAAGAUAGCUCUCUGUCUUCUGAAACCUGUGAGAAAGCAAAUUGCUGAAAUGCAAGUGUUUGUGGAGAUAUGGGAUCGUUUAACACUGGUUACCACCUCGGGCACUCUGGAAAGUCUCUGUUACACAAGGUUCAUUGCAGAGAUCUGAAUAUGUGCUAAACGAGCCCUGCAUCUCUGCCUUGUAGCUCUGAGAAUGCUAGGCAAGUAAUUAAGAAAUCACACGGCACAGGUGUGCCAGGUGAAUUUUGGUAGCUUGCUUUUGAUCUAAAUUGAGAUGCUCUGGGGAUUUAACUUCUUAAACAAAAAGGGCAUAAAUAAAUAAUCAGGAUUUUUUUUUUUAAGGUUGGAACAUGCAGGCUAUAAAAUUUUAUACAAGUAGGCAAUGCGAGCAGAUUGUUUAAGGCUAGGGCAUUGUUUUAAAUGGGGGUGUUGUUUUCAUUAACUUCGGUCUGAUUAGUUUUUUCACUGGGACUUUCCCCACUGAUAUAAACAGGAACAAUAUUUGGUUGUUGGGAACUAACUCCGGAAUAAGUUAAGAGAGUGUCUUUAAAAAUAGACCUUAAAAAACCAACAAGCCACACCAAAAGUUGGAAUAUUAAUUAUAAUGCAGGAAUUACUGAGUACUUCUUUUUAAUAUUCAUAAUUGAAAAUGAGACAGCUUUAAAGAUUGUAAUGAGCGCUUCAGAGUAUCGCUCUCUACUUAGAGCAUUACUUCAUAGCUGGAAGCCAAGAAACAGACUGACAGUCAAUUCUUAAAUUAUUCCAAGCCCACACAAUAGGCUCUUGCCACAAAUUCUCGGCAUGGGGCCUAUUUUGCUACCAUGUGGGUGUGGUGAGAUUGGGAUAAACAAGAACACAACUGCCCACUUUUGAGUUUUCAUCUUCCCUUAGGUUCAGUCUUACACAGAUACUUUCAGUUAGUUUGAAAUGUUUCAGUCCUUAUCUUUUCUUCCCCAACUGCCUGAUAAACCUGAGAUCAAAACUCUUGUGAAAAGAGUUCCCGAGUUAGAAAAAAAUGUGCCAGAAAAUAGAAGUAUUGCUCUGAAAGUUCUAGCCUGUUCUAUAGUCUUCUGAAGUACGAAAGCUUUCAUAUACUUUCUCCAAACAAAAUGGGUGGCUAUCUCUGAUCUAUCAGAAUGCCCUUAAAUUACUUCUUUUGAUACCUUGGGGAAGAAAGAUAGCAGAGGUGAUGUCAUAGGGCUCCUUCCAGCCUUGCUUGUGUGAUGUCGGCUCCUCACUUCAGAAACUUAAAUGUAAGGGAGGACACACACAGGGUAGAUCUCUGGAAGGGUGCUGUUACAAAGCUCUCAAUACUACAGAUGUGUUAUAGUCAGUUUGCAAAUACUAAUUUAUUCCUGUUUUUAAGAAAAACAGGAGACCAAUUUUCACUAUGGGUUGAAACCUCUCUUCAAUGAGACUUUGGUAUUGUGUGUGAUUUACUGUUUGAAGUUCAGUACUGUGGGAAAGUUGUGAUUGCAGGGUACCAGUGCAGUGUAUGACGAAGAGAAAUAGGAAUGGUGGAAAUAGGAAUUGAUGGAGGAGUUGGUCUGUAACUCUGAAAUCCAGAGCUGAGUACAACUUGUGAUUUUGCAAAGGUUGAAUUCUGACUUGCAUCAGAUAUAGAGAAAGACUGAAGUAACAAAGAACAGUUUUUCCUCCUAUUCCAAGUACUGGACAGCUGCUUUAGCACAUCUCCAGCAGGAGUAAAAUGUGCUGUUACGUUCUUUUCUGUGUAGAGCCCUGAGGGGAAAAUUGAUGCCCCUCAAAUAGGAUCUUAUCGCUGGUUGUUGUUUUCUGCUAAAAUGUCCUCUGCACUCUGUUUAAAAGAACAAGGCUGUUCUGUCACUUCUACUCUUAGGAGACCUGGAGUGUUAAUAGGGUUUUUUCCAUUUCAUUUAUUCCAUCACUGCCUCCUGUUCUCAGUCUAAAUCUUGAGACUAAGAAUCAAAUAUUUUCACUGAAAAGCACUGAAAUUUAGGAUUUUUUUUCCCCGUGAUAUUCCAUAGAGAGGAACAUUAUCAGCUGUAGUGAAGGGAAAUUCUGCCCCUUGGUGUGACCUUUUACUCCAGUGAUUGGUGUACAGAAUUUGCCUUUCUUCCUUUUUCACUGCUCACCAAUAUUUCCCACAUCUCUUUCCCUCCAAUUAAAAUAUGAGUAAAUUAAAAUGAAAGUGGGGAUUAUUUUCAGCUAAACACUUCUAGUCUGGAUUUUUCUCCAGAUAGCGUUUUCCCCCCAGGAGCUGUUGGAUUUCUCAUGAGAACAAAGAUAUUCUGGUAUUUUGACUUUGAGGAGAUCUGAAAUAUUAAUGAUAACAUGGGAGUAAUGAGGAAAUCUGGACUGUGAAUAAACUCAGCCUGUGCUUCACUGAGGUCCCAGGUAUCAGCCCCUCCCAUAUUGUUGCAGGGAAAGGUGUGCUUCCUGCAUUGCUUCGGCUCUCACAGGGAAUAAGUAGACCACACUGAACUACGAAGACAAAAUUCUGUCACUCCAGAGUUCAAGGACUGCUUUCUUUUAAGCACACUUCAAUAAGAAUGUCUUCUCAUGUCACAAUGAAAAUAAGAGAAUUUGGUGAAAGCACUUGGAUGACCUCCGUGAAAUGAAUUGGGUAUGGGACGUGUUGCCUCCUCUUCACAAGAGGUCUCAUGGUUGAGCAUCUUCUCCUCACUGAAAAGGUUAAAGCAGCCAUUCAAAUGUGCUCAUGUGUAUUGCAACUGUCCCCACUGUAAAAGUAGGCAACCAGAGAGUUUAGCCUUGCAGCCCCAUUCAGGGAGAAAUGCAAGGACAGACAAAGCCUGUUCCAUAGGUAGCUCACACAGAUUUCCAAAUGCAGUUAAUUAGGGCCAUGGAUGAUAGGCUCCCAGAAAUGAAACAAUCAAUGUCAAUGUCUACUUUCAACAUGCAGCUCAAGCAUCAUGUUGGAUCAUAUUCGUACUAAGAUCCUUCACCUUGUCAUGUUGGUCUAUUACUGCAGUGGCAACAUAUUAAUUACUAGGGAAAUUAAUUUUCUUGUCCUGCUUCAACAAUGAGGACCCUGUGGACUCUCCUUGGUUUCCAGACUUGUUAUCUCUUACAAGAGUGAUAUACUCAGCAUUUGAAGUUAAUUCUCCCAUUUUAAAGGUAAGAAAUUGAAACUCAGAUAUGUUAUACAAGUUCACACUUCCAUCAUAGCAUUAAUUCAAGACGCUAUUUCCCCCAAACAAAGUGCUAUUUCAACAAUUGCAUAUGCUGCAUUUAGUUUAGAACUUGUUUAUGAGUCAUAGUUAUAAGCAUAUGUAAUAAAGAGCCUGACUCUAGGAUCUAUGGCUACUCAACAUUUGCAGGCAUAUCUGAAUGUUACAGAGAUAGCAAGCAUGGUUAUAAAAAUAUUUGUGCAGUAUGAAAUAUUAAUGAACACCAUUUAAUUGUUUAAAAAAUGCAAAAAAAUUAAUCAUUUGAUAUUUUCACGAGUAUCUGUUUUUACUUUUGAGUAGGCUCUAUCACAAGAGGGCUCCUUUUGUUUAUUACAUAGGCAAAUUUGCUACUUGGUAAAAUAAUAACCAAAUAAACAAAAAUACAAAACAAAGAAGCCAACAGGUAUGGUGCUGACUUAUAGCCAGAUCUGCCCCAGGUAUUUUCUUCUGUUUUGAAAAUGAAAGCUUAAUCUAAUUAGAUCUUGGAGGAAAAUAGUUGUGAUAUGUUUUCUGUAGGUAAAAGGACAUGCUUAAUGUACUUUAUUUAUGUUACUGAUUUUACAGUAAGUAAUAAAAUUUAUUUAUUAAUAAAAUGCAUAGAAUCUGUUUGAAAAUGGCUUUUUAAUGAAGUAUAAGCUUUAUUAGACAUAGGUUAAUAAAACACAGCAUUACAAUAAUACAGAUUUUGUCAAUAUGUGAAACAUGGGAGCAUAAAUUGACCUCAGUCCUGCUGCAUAUGGCUAUUGAUUUUGGUUACAAACCAGGAACUAUGUCUUGUGUUUAUUUGUUUCUACACUGUAUCUGAAAAGAUUUUCCUCCUCCCUCCAUCAAAACACUUCCAUAUUUUACCACUUUCCGGUGGAAAUGACAGCAGUAAAGAUUUGCAAACCACGUGAGAAAGGACACAAUUUCUUGAUCAUUAAUAUAUUAAAUAGGGACUGAAAGGCUCACCAUGCUUGUUUGGACAUCCCAACAUUGCUGAGAUUUCCAUAUGAUUUCACAAAUGGACUGAAAGAAGAUGGACAAGCGCUGGGAGAGGGCCAGUUGUUAUGUGCCAUUUGAUUCCAUUAUUUCCUUGCCAGUCAACCAAAACCUUUGUACAGAUAGUGAAAAAGGGAAUAUUGCACUAUAGUCUCUUUGGAUACUGCAUAACAUGAAAGAGGAUGAGCUCCUCCAAGCCUCCGACACCAAGAGCUGCGGGAACAUUCUUUGUGAUUUGUUUGCUGAGGAGAGUCUUACAUAGAUCAUAGCAUCAGCACAUGCCAUCCCCUGGAACCAAAGCGUUGUUUUAGAUGACUUCUAGACAUACCUGUGAGUACUUCUGAACAUUUCAGAGUGUAAAUGAUUCUGUUAGUGCACUGUUUAUUGGCUACCUCUUGUAACUCUUACAUAACCCAUAAUAAAGUAGUGGGCUAGGCUGUCUAGUGAAACAAUACAAUGUGACAAUUAGCAUCAUCAUCAUCCUGCAGCAGAACACUCUUACCUAAUAUGACAGGUCUGAAAAGAAUUAAGCAGCUCUUUCCAUCAAGGGUUUGUGAAUGUAGUAAAGAGUUUUCUGCAGCUGUUAAGUGGUGUGCUAUAUCUUAUAGAGAACUAUAGUAUAUAUAUAUAUAUAUAUAUAUAAUGUCAGCCGCUGGGCGUUAGUUAGAUUAAUGUCCUCUCCUUAACAUGAACGCAUGGAAGGUAGACCAUGUGAUUAUGCAGCUAUGGUAAUUAUCCUUCAAAGAGUUGGAAGGCUUUGACGUAACCUCUGUGUCCCAAAUUUGUUCGUUCCAGUACUCGCUAGAGGGAAGAAUAAGGACUUGAAUCUGCAAGCCUUUCCCAUGUGACAAUCUGGUAUUGCGCCUUAUAGAAUCUGGCAAAACUGUAAAUGACAGGAACCUUUUUAAGAACUAAAUGACUUAGCAGAGACUUUUUUUUCCCCUGAUAAAUAAAUUCUCUGAUAUGCUGUUCAAACAUGCAGGGACAUGCAUGAACCGCUGUAAGUACUCCAAUUUAUAACUGCUUUGCAACAGGCCACAACAAGCUAGAAUCAUCUUUUAAGUAUUUAAUUUUUCUGUUUUGUUUUGUUUUUUUUUUUUUUUGUACAUCUUUACAGCAUGUUAGAAUGCACCUUGUAAUAAAGCAAUUUCUCCACAGUAUAUUAGUAAUCAGUAAUUAUUCUUCAGAGUUCUGUCUGCAGUGCAGUGCCUCUUGACUGGAAAUGUGAAGGCUGAAUUUGUUGCCUCACAGCUUGCCUGUGAGAGUAUCCAUUCCACUACUCACAAAGACAAGAGACAUCCAGCAUACAGUAACCCUUCAAUUAUUUCAGUUAUUUUGAUCUGACUAGGUGUUCAGUCCAUAUUAACUAUACAGUCAACAUUUCAACUUAUAUCAAGUUUUCACUGUUUUUGGUUGCAGUAGAUAUUCUUGUCAAGAAGGGAGUCAUUUGAAUCAUUAGAAAUGAGUAGAAACACAGGCUUUUUAGUCUAGACCCGAUACUCGUGGUGGAAGACUAGUUCUUGGCUGGUUAGUUCAUGCCUAAGUCCUGCCAGUCCUUUAGGGCAGGAUUAUCACAUGAAUUUGGAUAUAAAGGUAUUCAAACACUUUCCUAUAAAGGAUUUUCCUGAGGAUACUACUCAUAGUGGGAGCCUCAACCCACUGCUUUCCAUGCCCAGGAGCCUUGUUUCAGUCCUGCCUGGUGCUGGUUGUCUUGCUUUGGCAAUGUUGCAGGAGAACUGCCCUACAGCAGUGUCUCUGGGCCCACCUCCUUCUGCUCAUGGCAGGUUGAUGGCUUGCUGUGUUGGGGGCUGCCAGUGGAUGAUGUUAUCAGCCCUGGCUCUACCACUGCCUCAGCCCCAGUGGAACUGUACCACCAAGGAAGGCCUGGCUCAACAGUCUCAGUGGGUCACAAGCACCUAAAUUUUAUUAUAUUGUCUAUGAACUAUCUCUAUUUCUAGGAAGAAUAACAAGAGCAGUGCUGAGAUAGAACCACUGAUGUUAGAUUUGUUGGUAGGGACAAAAAGAUUUUUUUUCCCCUCUGUCUAUGCCUGUGUAUAUUUCUAGAUCUAGCUUGUACUUCUUGUCACUCUGAGGAUCAUCAGAUUUUUUCAUGUAAUUCAAGUGGAGCUUUGCCAAGAAAAAUUGUUAAUUUUAGAUUCUAAUUUUCAAUAAGAACAGGUAAGGCAGGACACCUAUGAAUCAGUUGAUAUGGAUAUUUACCCAAUAAGGAUAUACUAUUUAACAUGAGGUCAUACCAAACCCAGACACAACUUCUUUUUUCCUGUUCAGAUAUUCUUCCCAGCUGCCAGCAGACAAAGUCUCAUCCCUUUGUACACUGGAGGUACUGUGAACUAGUGCGAGUGUCAAACUGCAUUGUAUACAUUCAAAGAGAAAAAUGUUACAUUUUCAAGAUCAAUGGAGAUCAUCUACUUUCAUGAUGCAUUGCUCUCACUAACAGUGAUGUACGGGAAGCACCUGAGAGUCAAUCUGGAAACUUCGUUGGCCAGGACACAACAAUAUCUCUUGGUUGUUGCUGCAUGGUCUGGCAGCUGUUGCUGCUAAUCUGGUUAUCAGGGCCUGCAGGUGUAUCUGUAUUUACACAACUGGCUUCUAAGGACCUACAUUUAUCAAGUCAUGAUUUAUACUCUACAGAUUGCUUUUUUUUCUUGCAUUCUUUUUAUUGAACAGUGAGGACAAGACAGGAUAAGGAAAGCUUGGCUUUAUUUUCAUGUAGGCUCAAGACUUAUUAAAUUCUCCUGCAUCAGUUUGCUUUCCUACAAGUGUCCCUGUCUUUGCUGAAAUGAGUUGCCAUGGAGAGCUGGCAGCAGCAUGGUUUAGGUACUGCACACAUCUGUAUAAUCCACCUGAGCACACUGGGUGCAUGCCAUGUAUUACUGCUGAAUGUGGACAGAGAGGAUUUCUUAUUUGGGUUCAACAGCCUAUGAAUACAGAUCUGGCUUCAUGACCUGGCAUGGCGUCUCCUCCUGGCGCUGCACUGAGCUGGGAGCUGGGGAUCUCUGCUAACAGAACAGACAUGCCCACUUUAGUACGUGCAGGUUGCAUCCAGAUGGGUGAACUUUCUGGCUUUCAUUUGAUGCUUUUCUCCCCUAGAUCAUAGGGAAGGUGGGUCUGGCAGACAGUGCCCUGAGCAGUGGUUUAUUUGAAGAGUCUCCAGGGUAUACAAACGAAUACUCACCUCCUCUUGGGAUAAGAAAUGAAGUUACUGCAUGUAAUUUCAAAUGCCCAUAAGUUUUCAGUGGGAAGGUGACUCUGAAGAAUGUAGUUUGGGUUUAUCAGGCUUAAUUCUGUAUCUGUCAACUCCAUUAAUAACGGGCUCUUUCUUCUCUUUCCUCUGAAGGCAUCUUGCUUAAACUGUAAGGUCAGGAGUGUCAUUCUGGUGCUGUGCCAUUAAACUCCCUGCCAACACUUCCACUGGCUUUAUUAGGUACCUCCCACUCCACAAAUCACUUCAUCUGGAUUUCCAGGAGAAAUAGUGCUUCUUGGAAUGACUGAGUUAUUCUAUGAAGUCGUGAUAUUUGUCAUGUGAAAUAAUUGUCCAGAGAUAUUGUCUUUUUAUUGGAUUUUUUUUUUAAGAUUAGUUUUUGUUCUUGAUGAUAACCUCGGUUGCCCUGUGAUAUGACCAAAGGUUUCUUGGCAGCUAGGUGUCUUUCAUAUUACUGUAAGUCACCUAUAAAUGUUUUGAUGGGAGUGCAUAUUCAUGAUCAUGAUGAAUGAAACUGAAAUUUUAGUUCUCUGUUGGCCUCCAAAUGUUCUUCUUUCUCUGUCCCUUCUUGGACCUGUCGUUAUGGCUUUUGCUGUUGGCAACCAAGCAGAAUGAUAAUGGGGAGUCUUCCAAAUAUAAAUGUUCAUAAAAAUGAGGCAACAGUAGCCAAGUACCACCAAGAAGAAAAAAAAACACUGAGUGCUAGAAUCCACCCAAAUUCAUGACUGCUAUUCUUUUUUUAUUCAUUUUGUUUAAAUCAGAAAUUCUGUCAUUAAUACUUCACUUCCAUUAUCUUCCAGUUUAUACAGAGCUGUGCUUUAUAAAUGUAGAGGGAACUACUGAUUAUUUCUGAGAUGGAACAAAACCUUUGAGAUUAUCUGCUUGUAGUUUCUGAUGAAGAUCCCAGGGCCAGCUCACUGCAGCUUUCAGAACAACUUGGUAGCUGCUUGGUGAAAUGGGGGAAAUGUAUCCUUCUGGGUCUCUGUCAAAAGGGCAGCUACCUGGAAACUGAAGGUCAUGGAGCAGAAUUCUUUGCAUUGGAAGGGAUCACUCACCUAGCUGGAGUUUGGGAAUAUCUGAAGACCAUGAAGAGAUGACCUGGAAGGCCUAGUGAGAAUAGAAGGGACUGCAGCCUUUGGGAAACUUUGCAGCUGAUACUGUACUCCAAAUACGAUGAGCAUCAGAAGAAUGCAAGAAAUCAGCAUCAGAUGAAUGCAAGAAAUCAGCAUCAGAAUGCAAGAAAACAGAAAGGAUAAGAAGAUCAUUUUGAGAAGUUUUCAAGGAGACAACUAGAAAAUGUUGAUUUCAAAGUUAUAGUGUAAUUCGAGUCAAUGUAUGAUGGAGCAAUGUGGAAAUUAUUCCAGCUUGACGAGAUGCAAGACCUUAUAAGUAACUCUACAAAAAUUAGAAUUAUUGGACGAGAAAAGCACCUCAAUGAUACAUUGCACUUCAGUGGCUUCAAGGGUCCCUGGAUGAAGCCAUUUAGCACUUGGUAUGUUUUGGAAACUUAGGUAUGGAGCAUUCCUGAAAGAGUCUGAACUCAGAUGCCAGACAGGUCCCUCAUGUUUCCAGCUUCUCUGAGUCUACAUAGUUUGGCAAUAAAUGGGGAACUGAGAGUGGCUCUGAUAACAGAACAAGUUCAGAAACUUAACGUUCUCUCAGACCUGAAACCAUGACAACUGACAUUGCUGACAUCCUUUUCACAAGUCCUAUUGCACUCUGUUAUCUUCAGCUUCUAACUCUGCUUUGAGAGAAACGUCUUUAUUUGAGGAGCUUAAAACAGCCUCAGGUCUUCAGGACUGUGGCCCUGUUUUCCAACGAGGAUGUGGGAGCUGUAAGGGCCAGUGAGAGACUUACUGCUAAUGGACACAUUACCUUUACAAUCCUGGAGUAUAUUGUUAUUCAGAUAACAGGAAAUACUCAUCAAUACUGCUUAAGGUCUGAAAAAGUAAAAAGGACAACCUAGCUGAUGUAACUACUCAAUUACAGUUAAGAUUUAGAUACAUUAACACAGGAAACAUUAAUUAAUGUGACUUCACUGACAGUGUCUUCAAGCUUUAACAAUGACUUCUAGCUGCUAAUGUUAUAGUUUUACAAGAUGUUAAUGCAAUUCUAAACAUUUUUUGAAGAAUAAGGCAGCUUGAGAGGAAGGGUGUAAAAUCUUUGAUUCUCUUCACCUUAAUAUUUAAAGAAUAAAACCAUUCUGGAAUAACAUCUUCAGAAGAGAACCCUCAAAUAUACAGACAAUCUUAUAAAACACAGAGUUUAUGGUAAAAAAUUAUGGAAAUAUAGAAAAUCAAGUCUGACAGGGAAAACAUGUUUGUGAACAGUUGGAACUGUUCUCCUGAGUGUCACUUUUAAUGAUAGUUCAUAGUCAUUGAGGCCAUUAAGAUUGGAAAAGACCUCCAAGAUCAAGCACAACCAUCCACCUACCACCAAUAUUUCCUCACUAAACCAUGUUCCUCAGUACAACAUCUAAACAUUUCUUGAACACCUCCAUGGACAGUGACUCCACCACCACCCUGGGCAGCCCAUUCCAGUGCCUGAUCACUCUUUCAGAGAAGAAAUUUUCCCUAAUAUCCAACGUGAAUCUCCCCUGGCGCAACUCCAGUUCUCUCCCCAAUCCCACUUGGAAGAGGAACAGUGAAUGAAUGACUGUGUGGUGCUUUGCCACUUGCUGGGUUAAACCACAACAGUAAGGCAAUCUUUUAAUUCAAUAUAUGCAACACUUAGUGCAGUAAGAUCUUGUUUAAUGGAUCUUUGGCAUUAUGUUACCAUCAUUUUUCUUACUGAAAUUUAACUUGAUCAAAUUCAUAGUGAAGUGGAAUGAAAUCUUCCCAGCUCACAAAACAUUACAGUAGUUAGAACAACUGCAGUUCUCAUCUGUUACAUUCUAGCCUUAUACCAGUGUAUUAAUGUAAAGGUAUAUUUCCCUAUAAGAUGAACCUCAAGAGGACCUAAAUUGCAUUUUUAUCAAAUAAUUUUGAAACAAUUGGAGGAUUGCUGGAAGAGUUCUUAAGUUACAGGAUGUUCUAUCCUCUCUUGCAGGCAGGUCAAGUCAUAGCACAUCCUGAAGCUGGUUCUGCUCUGACAGCAUGCCUGCAUGCCAUGCAAUGGCCUUGGUGGAGAAACAGUGCUGUGUCAGAAGGAGCUGUUGAUUCAUCAUGAUUAAAAAAUGAUCUUCAGAAUUCUUGGAAAAUGGAUGAAAUAUCCAUUAUAGAUUUUAUGAGUACUGUCUUUAACAUGAAAGCUUUUUAAAUUGACCAUGAUUCAUACUAAUAAAUGAAUAUACCUUAAAAAAAAAUAGAAUCUAGAAUACAGGACUGCAGAGAACAACUCAAAACCUACAGUGACUUUUUGAGUUACUCUGUGGUGAAGAAGUAAGUAGAGAAAGACAAGUUGAUGAAUUAGGCCAAAUACUUUGCACCUUUAACAUCUACUGAAAUGGAUGGGGGCUGAAGAUUCAUACAGCAUCUUGCACAUCAAGGCUUUGUUACCACUAUUAGGUCCUUUCCCAUUAUGAAAACUACCUACGAGACCAUCCUUGAUGUCUGAUGUGCCUUGAUGGGCAGAACUGGAAGAGGGACAGAACUGUGCUUCUGACUCCUGUUUACUCCAUACUGCAUGAUUGUUACGUUCAUGAACCUGGUUUGGCAAUCACUGUAAAGGAGGAAAUAGUAAUCAUGUAAUUUCUUCAUAUACUGGAAAAAAAUACAAGAAAUAAGGCUGAGCUGUUUUUAAACAACCAAAGAACUAUUUGGAAAAUAAUUACAAAGCAAUAAAUGGGCAUACGUGAGGCAUAUAUAUCAAGACAGUGAAAGACAGGAAGUAGGAAAUGACAUUUUUCCUGGCCUAAUGUAUGAUAAUAAUUACAAGAAAUUGCAAUUUAGAGAAAACACAUUUCUUUUUGCUCCUAUCUGUAUUUUGGUAAAUUACUGUUCUCUGUUGUGACAGAAAAUUAAUUGCUACUGUGGCUGUUGAUUGCUUCUUAAUGACAUUGUAAUACACAGCUUUUUGGUUCAAUGUUAUUCUCAAUUCAAAUAUCUUUGUAAAUAUCAUAUACGGACUAUCUUGUAAGUAUGAUAUGAUUCAAGUUAUGCUUGUAAAACCUCCACUUAAAAUGAAUCUCCAUGUGACAGGUAAUUGGCUGCGGGCCUUUUUUUUGUUAUUGAUUUAACUUAAUGCCAAUGUACACAGGUGUGUUGGCGGGUUGUUCAAGCUUCCAAGGCACCCACAUUUGGCAGGACAAUUAAUUGUUGCAUAAUAAGAUUAUUUUCCCCCUUCAGUCCUGAAUCUUUUCAAAAGUUGUAUUUUAAACCUUUGUAGGUAUGUAUGUGGGUGAGAGAAAAAUACCCAACAAUGUUACCAUGAGGCAUGUUUCGAUUUAUUGUUUGAGGUGCUCAAGGAAACAGCAACAUAUAGAUAAGAUAUCUGCAAAUAUAUAUUUGCCAACUGAAGUGGAAAAAAAGAACAAAAAGCUUUAUAUAAUCAGGCUUUUACAUGCUAUAUAAAAUUCUAUAUUGCUAUCAGACAAAAUUGCUUAUUUUAGACAGAAAUACUACACUGAAAAUAUUAGCUGUCCGGUCUGCUUUACAUGUAGAUAGGAGAUACAAUUUGCCCUUGGACACAGAAAUAUCUGCAUCACAGACGCCCAGCGAAGGACUCAUUUGAAUACUUUGAGCAAAAUCCUGGCUCUGUUGAAGUUGAUGGGAAUUUUGCCAUUAACUUUGGUUGGACUUCAGUUUGCUUCUCCAGUGUGUAGUAAGGUAUUCAUCCCUGAGGAGUACACAGGGUAAUCUGGAGAAAGUGAACAACGCCACAGGAGUAACAGCUGGCCCAAAUUCUAGGGAGAGCAGUGACCUUAGAGGAAAAGAAGAGGCAGCACUGCUGUGGGAAUGCAUUGUAUGGAGAGGUGGGAGGAGAUUUCAUGAAAGGAUGUACAAGAUUGUUCCAAGCAUAGCAGGUAGCAUGACUGAACGUGUAAAAUCAAGAGCUGAAGAAAACACUUCUACUUUCACAAGCCCUAAGAAAUGAAUGAAGAAUGAAAAGUGUUGUGUCCAAACUUUGGAAGAGCUGGUUCUGUGAAAAGCUGUGUGAUGGCUCUUCUUUUACCCAGGUGUUUAUCUUGGGCUUGGUUCAAAAGCAAGGAUUUGUUUUGCCUUCCAGAUUUAUCCACUAAAUUGUGUUUCAUGGGGUCAUGCAAUCAGCUGUCCUCUCAUAAGAAAAAGGCCACAGCUGAGGAAACCAGGCCAGUUCAGGACUGCAGAGCCUUUGCCUGAGUGACUCUGAGAAGCUGCAUUGCACCUGAGUGGAAAAUCACUCUCCCAGGCCGAGGGAUGAUUUUUUAUCCUGGUGCUUUUUUUUCUAAAAAAACUAUCCUGUCAAGCUGUGACUUAGGUUAAAAUCAUUGGCACCACAGACAAGAAGUUGUCUGCUUCCAUAUAGAAGAGCAGAUGAUACACAUUCUGUAAAAAUCCAUAUAAAAUAUUUAUCAAAAUCUCAUUGCCCUGGAUGCCUACCAGAGACAAUCUGAAAAUUAAAUAAUUACUGUUUAACUUUCUCUUUAGACACCCAAACACUUUAUUCUGCAGUAUAUGGCAAUGGAGUAAAACAUACCAAAAUAAAACUUUGUUGACAUAGAGCUUUGUUUUAAUUUAAAGGGCUCUCAGAAGUCCAGACUGCUCAGAAAUAAUCCCAUUUUUUCUUGGCUGACUUCAACAGCUGACAGACACUGAUACAGAAGAUGAGAUGCAUGUAUGUGUGAAAGAUGGUAAUGGUAAUGGUUUGCUCUCCACCAGCAGAAAUUAAAGCCCAGUCAGUAUUUUCAGAUUGCUUAUUAACCCUGUUAGAUUGGUUUGGGAGAAGAACCAUCCCACAUGGAAAAUGCUCCCAGCUGCUGUGAGCACAGUGCAGUAGAAGCAGGUACUGCCAUGUGUGCUACUGCAGACAGUGGUAAGCCCCCUCCCUUCCCCUAUGCUUAAAAACAAAACAAGACAAAACAAAACUCAGUUUCUUCGGUGUACACAAGAGAAUGUUUGGCAUUUGCUACUACUGAGCAGCAUUCUUGCCGUGUUUUGCUAUCUGUCAAAUGGCAUGCUCAUCCUCUGCCAAGAAAAAUACUUGUUUCCAAUACUAAUCACGCUCCCUGACUACCCUCUAGUGUAUAUUCUUCCUGGACUGCUAUCUGUCCAUGCAACAUUUGAAAGAUAUUAAAAUGAUUAUGAUGAAAUCUCUUGCUUACUGUGCUGGCAAGAGCUGGGAUAUGCUCCAGAGUCAAUGCCUGUAGUUCCCAGGGAGAAGGCAGUGCCUAAAGUUGCUUCUUACUGACUGCCUCCAUCCAUCCACAUGUAGGCAGGACAUUGUCGAGCUCUGUGUGGAGCCACAGACAGGCUCUGCUCUGGUGUAAUGUUGUUAAGGUAUGAGUUGCUGGAGAAAUGAUGAAUAAAGAGCAGUUGGUAGGUAGAUCCCAGAGCCACAAGUGAUUGUACUUAUAAAAGGAGAAGAUUGUUGUGAAAUGUGUAAUGAUACUUGAAAGGCAGUAGCUGGCAAGUCAGCAUGAAUGGUUUUCUAUUUUGCUCUUCAUUUGGUGAGAUGGAAUAAGGGUAUCCACACUGGCCCCAACUCCUCAGACUGGGGAUGAUACAACUACAAGGUGCAUCCCUACAUGGUCAGAUCAUUUUGGUAUCUCCUAAUGCUAACACCGAGACUUUCGGCCUUUGAAAUUCCUGGAAGUCUUAUGAGGAGUGACUGAGGGAACUGGGAUUGUUCAGUCUGGAGAAGGCUCAGGGGAGACCUUAUUGGUCUCUACAACUGCAUGAAAGGAGGUUGUAGUGAGGUGGGUGUCGGCCUCUUCUCCUAGGUAACAGCAGUUAGGAUGAGAGGUGAUGGCCUUAAGUUGUACCAAGGGAGGUUCAGAUUGAAUGUUAGGAAAAAAUUAUUCUCAGGAAGAGUAGUAACACAUAGGAACAGGCUGCCUAGGGAGGUGGUGGAGUCACUGUCCCUGGAAGAGUUCAGGCACUGAGGGGUAUGAUUUAGUGGGCAUGCUGGGGAUGAGUCGACAGUUGGAGCAGAUGAUCUUGGUCUCUUCCAACCUUAAUGAAUCUAUGAUUCUAGGAUAAUGAUUCUAUGAAGGAUUAGCCAGUUGUUCCUCCACCUAAGACAUAACUUUUUACUUCCCCCCCCCCCCCCAAAAAAAAAAAAAAAGUUUUUUGAUCGACAUAUUCAUAUGUCCAUUUGGCAAUUAAAUGUUCUGUUUUUAUCCUCCACAAUGUAAGAGCUGCAUCUCUUUCAGGAAUCUAAAUCUGAUUUGUGUCCCACCUUACCAACAGACUAAUUAUGACUUUAGCAACAAGUGCCCUGAGACACCUCUGCAAACUAUUGAUGCUCAGAGUUGAUCAAGGAGAAGCUAGAAGCAUCUCCACAUAUUCCUGUUGUGCGUUGCAAGCCACAGCUCAACCACCACCAUUAUGGCAAACUUCAUUUGUUUUUGCAGACAUCAGGGUGGAAUUUGUGUCAUUUCUCUUUCAGCAUCUACAGAAUAGAUAUCUACAGCUGUGCUAAUCACUCUGGGCUCUCCUUAUAGGCAAGGAAGAGAAAUAAGUGUUUUUAGGGUGCAGUUUUCCUGACCUACUGUAUACAUUUACUUAAGGAGGACGAAUCACACUCAAGAUUCCUAUGCAUAGCCUGUCUAUGUCCUCACUGACUGUACUGAUAAUCUGGGAUGAUUAGCUUAACUGCGUACCAUACGCAUGUUUAUUUACCUCUGCUUAAUUACAUAAGUGAUAUCCACUGCCCAUUACAGAGCAGGCUUUGAAUGUAGAUGAUGUAGGCAAUUUCUGCAAGUAUUAUAGCAGACUGAAGCAAGCAGUGGUGCAUCCUCUUUCCAUGAAAUGGAAGAACUGUCUUUGUUGAGAGGAGGAUACUCUAAUUCCUUCUGUUUCUCCAUGGAACAGGACCUGACUCUUCUGGAAGAAGCAAAUAGGAGACAUUGACGUUGGCAGCAGUGUGAACUGUAGGUGGAGGAGUUAAUUGAGAGGUAGUUUAGGGACAUGGCAGGUUGCACUGGCUCCCAAAUGAUUAGAGAUGGUGGGGGAUCUGGUUGGGGAUUUGCUUAAGGAUCCCACCCAACUCUGCUCCAGAGGCAUUAAACAUCCCUGUGCUACCUAAUUCCAUUCCUUCUUUGUCUCAUGGAGUGUCCUGAAACCUCCUCAUAGCCCUCACAUUCACCUCCCCUCUCUCUCUCUCCAAAACCCAAUUUCCUCUCCCCAUCCUCCAAAGUGCCCUCAACUGGUCUCUUCUAGCCUCCUUUCUUGAAAGCUCUUCUCCAUCUCCUUCAAACUGUGAGGGGUCUUCAGAUCAAAGAGCAUUAGAGGGUGUAUGGUGGCAUGCAGUUUCCUAUGUUAGCUUGUGUUUUCAUAGAAUGGCUUGGGUUGGAAGGGAUCUCAAGGAUUAUCAAGCUCCAACCCCCCUGCCACAGGCAGGGCUGCCAACCUCCACAUUUAAUACUAGACCAGGCUGUCCAAGGCCCCAUCCAACCUGGCCUUGAACACCUCCAGGGUCAGGGCAUAGACAGCCCCUCUGGGCAGCCUGUUCCAGCACCUCACCACUCUCACAGUAAGGAACUUUCCUCUUAUAUCCAACCUAAAUCUUCCCUCCUUCAACUUAAAAUCAGUUCCCCUUGUCCUGCCAUUAUCUACCCUUUCUAAGAGCUGUUUUCUCUCUCCUGUGCUUGUGUUUUAUAUUUUUCAAAGUACAUUUUUCAAAAUUUGAAUGAUGCUCACUUAAGGGAACACUUAAUAAUUUUGUUUACAGUUAGAAAUCUUAAUUAAUAAGAAAUAGCCAUAAGAAUGGCCCAGGAACUUCAAGAGAACACAUAAAAUUUCCUCUGGAGCCCAGAAUGAUGCCCAGAGAAAGGUCUCCAGUGAUGUAUUACAACACUUUUUAAACUUAAAUUGCAUAAUGAAUAUUCAUAAUACUUAUUAUAGCAUAAUUAGUGAAGUAACAAGGGUUUGAAGAUAGGAGUCUGGCAAGAUCUGUACAAGAGAAAAUGCCCCAUCCCUGGAGGUGUCCAAGGCCAGGCUGCAUGGGGCCCUGGGCAGCCUGGUCUGGUGCCUGAUUUAGUGGGUGGCAACACUGUCCAUGGCAGGGAGUUGAAACUAGAUGGUCUUUGAGGUCCCUUCCAACCCAAGCCAUUCUAUGAUUCUAUGAAGAGAAAGAAAUUUAAUUUGUUUGCCUGACUGAGGUAUGAGGGAAAGCAGACAAGCUUUAGGCAUGAGGCCUUUAGGUAAAUAGUGAUAGAGAGAUUACAACCUCCGAAUUAUGCUUAUGGAUCAUAUAAACUCCACAUGGCUGGAAUCAGAGGACACAUUUCAUAUCAAGGGAAAUUUUUAAUAGAAACAACAAGUUGGUUUUGGUUCACCUUUAUGGUUUUAAAACUGUGAGAUGAAAUAUUUUUCCUACAUCUGCAAAAUAUUUUGAAUUUUGAAAAUGUUUCUAUCUGAAGUGCAAUAAAAAGCAGGAGCUGCAAUAAGUUGAUGAGUCAAUAAUGAAUAAACACAGUGUUUUGAAUUGAAAAUUUUGGCACAUUUCAGUGCAGUUACUAUUACUGAUACAUUUUUCCUGUGGAUACACUGACAUUUAAAAACCAAUCUGUAAUGAAGGGAAAAGAAAAAAUAACAUACAUAGCAUGUGGAAACAAAAGGCUCAGAAUCAGAAUUAUUUUGCAGAAAAAUCAGGUUUGAAAAUGUAUCUUUUUCUGGACAAAAGAGUGAAAUAAAACAGUUCAUCAACAGUGCUCAUACUCACUUGCAGACCCAGCAUAUGUGUGUACCACUGACACAACACACAGUUGCCUUCUAAAUACUUAAUUAAUUGUUAGGAUGAUAGUUAAUAGUCGUCCCCAGAUUUUCAAUAACGGGACGAUCCUCCUGUCAGUGCUGCUACUGCAAAUCUUUUCUUCACCCUUGCAGUGCCCUUCCCUGUGCAACUGGGCAUUUUCAUUCCUCUAUUUAUUCCAAUGAACUACAGAGACCCUGAGCAUCUUUCUCUCUAUUAUUAUGCAGAUCUGCUUUUCUAGAUUCUUGGUAUUUUAUUUAUUGCACAAGCGUAACCCACUGGUAAUCAAUGACUACAAUUACAAGACCUUGAACACAAUGAUAGAAGAAAUAAUAUUUUAUGUUUGGCUUGAAAAUAAACAGCCCUCCAUUAGCACAUUUUGCUCACCAUGACUACUGGUGAUGAAGGAAGUCGUCCACCUUGACAUCCCUUGAACCAGGCUACAGUACCACAAGGACUAUAUACACAUUAAAAGACAACUAAUUGAUUAGGGAUCUUUUAAAAAAUUUGGGCCAGAUCCUGAAUCCCACAUGCAUCACACAUUCAAAAAAUGAUUUUCCAAAAGACUCUGAGAAUUUCUGCAAGAUGCGUAGCACAUGUCUGACCUUUUCCUGUCCCCAUGAGGUUCCAGGUCCCUCCUCACUCUCAGCCCCAUAGGCACUGGCCAUCCGAGUCCUGAUCCUGCCAGAGUCGGACUGCAGAUGUGAUGAACACUAGCUGCUGUCUUUGCCUGGUAGACAUGUCCAUCCAACACUGAAUCUUUCACAAAUUUUGCCUUCAGUAAAGAAGAGAGGAAGAAAAAUAGAAUAAGAAAUCAUGAAAACCAUUUUUAGAGGGAUUUUAAAUUUGUGCUGCGCUUUCUGAUUCAGAAUUUGAGCUGCACUCUGUGUUUCAGAUACAGUUGGACUUGUUAUUAAGACAAGCAAAGAUACAGUUGAAAAAUGCUGCUAAUAAUCUGGAUAAUUACUUUCAAAAUGAUCUACAUAAUUCCUGAAAUAGCUAAAAUAGAUACAUUCAACAUCCAUAACAAAGAAUAGUAUUCAAAGCAUUUAUAAACUAAAUACUGUUGCCACCACAGUCUCUUCAGACCUACCACCAAUUUGAUAUAUAUUUUCAGACAAGCCCAGGAAAAAUAUGAUUUGAAGGAUCCAUUAAAAGGGAAACUGCUAUUCAACUUUGGUUGUUGAUAGAGCCAUAAAAUAUAUAUUUAUAUGCAGUUUUAUAUAUACAAAAUGAAACUCACAUCCUACAGUAUCUUACUGGAGCUCAGAUGCAGCACAUGACAUAUUAUAUCUGUGGAAAUGGGAUCUAUAACCUAAUGUAUUCUUGCAUCAAAGAAUAAUGUCUCAUAAAUAAAUCAUUACAGCCUGUCACAUCUAUGGUUUCACACUGUAGUGUAUAAAAUAAUGUAUUUUGAGAUACGAGAGAAGGUGAUUAUCUAAUGUUUCAACAAAAAAAGAUUGUCCUGUGCUAAUGCAUGUGCUGUCUUAGAGGUGUUAUUGCCUUACCGCUGUUCAUUGAAGACUAAUCCAUCAUAUCAAAGGAGCGACAGCAUUUCACUUUUAAAAAACUGACACAAUUUGCACGCGGCUUUUCUCUUUCAGUAAUUAAGAAAUCAAAUAAGCCUGAGUGAAACUAUUUAAGAGGUUCUAGAUAUAAUUAGAACACCUCAUUCUCUCAUAACUAAUUCCUAAUUAAAGUAAUUUGUCUUUUUGCCCUUCUUUUCAAGGGUGAAGAGCAAGUGGUGAUGAAUGCUCAAAAUCAGGAAAAGUGAAAAUUGCAGUGUGUUGAUUUGCAGUGAUUGAGCGCGUUCCAGUUUUUAACAACCACCUUCGGCUGCAAAGCUAAAUGAAUCUCCAGCCUCUAUUUACAUUGAGAAUGUGUGAUCCAGAGCCUGACAAUUGAUAGAAUCUGGAGACAAAAGGGCUGAAGUCUGAGUCUGAGUUCAAAAGUUGCCUAUAUUAAGCUUUGCACAGGGGGAAAAAAUACAGUGAGACUGCACAGGAGAGAGAAGAAGUCUGAAAUUUGCUCCACUGGGUGAAAAUUGUCCUUUUAAAAUUUUAUUUGCAGCUGUGCCCAGAUGAUGACGGAUUUAUCAUAUGAACCAGGGAUUAGUAAACAAUGUGUACCCUAUAAAGAGCAAAACAAGUCCUUGCUCAUCACUGCACUUAAUUGCAGUGGUUAUAUCAAAGCCAUAUAAAAUUUAAUCAUCAACCACAAGUAAGAUUUUGCCUUGCAUGUGUGCUUGCUUCCCUGUUUUUCCACCUGUUUAAAUGAAAGAUUCUUGGAAUAUCACAAUAUGUAAAUAUUGUUUAUGAUGCAAAAAUAUGCUCUUUCAUCUCCUGGCUGCUUUGAUGUCGUGAUAUACAAAGCUUUUAGUGCCACCACCUACCUGACACACAAAGGUCUUAUCUGAUUCAUAAACAUGUGUGCCCAGUGCAAACAGGCUGUAUCCAAUAGAUGAUUUUUCUUUUCCUUGCAAUGUUUUUUUAACAGACAGAAAGAGAAAGAAAGUGUAAAUGACAGAACUGCUCAGGUGAAAAGAUUAUUUUAAGCAUCAGGUAAAGAUAAGCCCAUUAUGACAGAAGAAAAAGAUGUAGGUCAGUAUCGAUCCUAAGAGGUUAGUUAUAUAUAUAGUCAUCUCGUAAAAUGUGUUUUAAAAGCUGAAACUUUUUUUAAAGACUUUUGAUCCAAGUGGGAAAUAAGCAGCAAGAUCAGGUGCCCUCCUAAGACAUACAAAUAUGCCUAAUUAGCAGGAGAAGAAAGAGAAAAGCAGGAAGUGAGGUCAACACUGGAAACAGGGCAAACGGAGUCAGGGAGGGAAUAAGGUGUAGGUAAUAGUUAAAAUUUGCGGCUCAUUGGUAACAAUUUUAAACCUAAAGGAGCAGCUUAUUACAGGUUAAUCCAUGAUAUGUCUAAUUUACAGCUAUGUGUAUGUGAAUUUCUCAUAAAACAACGGGAUGGAGCUUCGGUCUGAUGGAGCCUGAAUUCUGCAAGGGGCAGCUGCUGUCUCCAGCUGAAAACACAAUACUGUUUGAGAGAAGUGUUACAACUGCUAGCAAAGGUCCUCUGGGCUUUUUAGGGCAAAUUAGGUCCCCAUACCCUCAGGGAUCCCACAGCUGUUCCCCCUGAGCACACAGAGCACCAAGAUGUGUGCUGAUGGCUGCAACAGCAGCAUAGCAGGGCUUGAUCUCAGCCACCUGAGAACAGAAUUUGGCCAUUUAAUAUCACACAAUAUCACAUAAACUGCAAGAACUUCAAGGUGUAAUGCUUCUUCUCUUUCUUCUUUCUCUCUUCUUUUUUUUUUUCCCUUUCCAUUCCUUUUUUUUUUUUUUUUUUUUUUUCUCUGUAUCCAGGAGCACCCUGGGAAAUCCUUUCGUGUUCUUUAUUUCCAUCUAAGCCCUGGCUUGCUUUGAACAGCAGAGGUAAUUGUGCGGGUGAACUUCAGAGAUUUGAAGGGAUCAAACUUGAAAGCCCCUGCCUGAAAGUGCAAGCUCCAACUGGAAUGUUGUCAGGUGCUGUGAGACGGGACGUGGCGGUGCUGCCGUCGGAGGAAUCCUUGCACAGGGACAGUCUGAACCUGCGCAGCGCUCCCUUUGCACAGCCCCUGCAGUUAGCAAGGCUCCCAUAACCCACAGCAGUGCUCAAAUGAGGCAGUACUGCCCUCUCUGAUCUAUAAAUGGGUGUGUGUGAUGAUGUGACUUGAUGAAGGUCAUCUAUGUCAGACAGUGGCAGAGGGUGAAGAAACCAUCCUGAUGUCUAUUUUCAGGUUUUCCCUGAGCAUCAGAGCAGAGAAGCCAAAGGGAUGCAGGUCUACAUCGUUUAUGAGAGCUACAUGUUCCUCUGGCUAGAAAAUCCUGGGGGAUUCAAUAAUAAUAAUAAAAAAAGAAGAAUCAGGGAAGAACUGAGAAGAAUAUAAUAGAAGUUUGCAGAUGGGGAAUUUCAGAAACCAGCAAAAUUCACGGAAGGAGAUUGUUACAAAACACAGCCUUUGCAAUGGAUUUAUACAUUCUUUUAAAUUUUACACGACAGCCAAAACACUCCAGAUACGCUUCCUCCCUCUGCCAGUUUUCCUCGAUCUUCUCUUUGAGCACAGGUGAAGUUCCUCAUGUUCCAAGACAGGGCAGGGUAUGUUCUGCUGCCAUUUCCCACACCCUUCUCAUGCCGUAUCUGACUAUCAGCACUGCUGCAAUCCAGGAAAACAGGAAACAUCAGAGCCAGUUGGAUUUUUCAACUCCUGAAUGUGUUUUGUUCAGAGUUCCUUUGGAAAAUAAUCAGGAAAACAAAAUAUGUUUUUACAAUUGUUUUUCCCCACUGGGUUUCAGACAACAGCAGCUAUAACAUGAAGUGAAAAAUAUAUUUAUUUCUUCUUCAAUCAAAAAUAUUUGGCUUGACCAAGAAAAUCUAUCUUAGUAAUCACAUACUGUGUCAAUGCCAUCCAUCUUCUUCUACAAUAGCUAUUGUCAUCGAUAGUGAAAGUUUGUUUCCUGUAGUAAGAAGCAUGGGAGAUGUCCUUUCUUGUUCCGUAUUUUGUUCUGCUUUGCCCUGUCAUAAGGCUAUUAACUACACAGUUACGUUUCAUUUUAAGAUUCUCAGUUAACACUCCCUGUCUUUACACUGCAAACUGUUUCAUCUUCUGAAUUGCGAUCUGCCAGUGGCUGAUGCUGGCAACACAGCACAACGUACAGACUUCUGAUCUCUUUUGGCCUGCAAGCUUUUCUUUCCUAACUGAUGGAUGAAAACCAAUUCCCUGUGCAAUUUGCUGAACUUUACUGUGGUUCUCAGUGCCAUUUCAAUUUAUGCCUAAUAGGUGGAGAAUCACAGAAUCACAGAAUGUCCCCGAAGAUCACUGAGCCCAUCUCCUGGCUCCACUUGGGGCUCCCUAAGAAUUAAACCAAAGACAUGUGAAUGCAAACUGAUUCAGAUGAAAUCCAUGACAGUCCUUCCACUUCCGGCCCUCUCAUAUGGGCAGACCCUUGCUUCAUUCUCACUUACUAUUGAAUAAAUAGUAUACGACUUUUGUGGAAUCAGCUAAGGAUUAGUGUUCCACACUCACACUUGUUGCCAUCCGUCUCUUUUCCAAAUUAUCCAUUUCAGCCACUGUGUGUGUUGAAGAGGUGUAAAACAUUGGUCUGAUAUGUGUGUGCUAUUACAGGAAGAAAUACAAGAGCAAACUCUCCUCUAACCCAUUUGAAUGCUUGUGAGACUGUUGGAGUUGUUGAGGUUCAAGGAAUGCCAUCUCCCAGGCUCCUCAUUGUCAUCUUCUUGGUAUCUGAACAUCUGGGGACAGCUGAGUCUGUGCAAGUUCAGUAGGAAAAGGAAAAUUAGUCAAAAGUACAUUUCUGCUCUGUAAGUGGUGUAUUUAAUUUCCAGCUAUGGAACAAAACACAAUUACCCAUGGUCCAUUUUUUCUGGGGUCAAGGCUGGCUAGAUUGUUGUAAUAAUCGUAAUAACACUCCCUCACUUGCUAUUUACCUUGGGAGCUAUUUGCUGUCCUUUGUCUGCAUCUGACUGUUGUGUAGGGACUGUGCCACAUCUUUGUGGUACAGCGUGUGUUUGGUUGCAGGGAUCUUUUGUGUCAGAAAAGGUAAACUUUGCACUCACAUAAAUUCUGUACUAGCCAGGACACAGUGAGACCUAUUCAGACUACUCACUUUCCUGAUAUAUGUAGCCACAUAAUCAUGGAAUAAAGACUCUGCAAAGUAUAUAGUGUUUUAAAGAUAAUUUGUACUACAGCAGCGCAUAGAGGAAGGGGUGCUUGGUAUGAAUUACAUAGAAAAAGUAUACUUCACCAUGACCUGGGGAUCAGUUGCAGAUUCAACUCCAGUUUGGUUUGGCCAGAUGUGCAAAAGCUAGGAGGAAGGUGUAGAAAGCACCAGUGUAACCAUGUGAAACCAGGCUUUGAAAAAUAAAGAACUGGCUCAAGAUCACAGGACAUGAUCUAUGGAAGAGAAAGAAGUUUUGCAUGUAUCUCCCGAAUUGCUCUGUAGUGUAGUAACUAGUAUUCCCUUUACUCCCUUGAUGCUAUAUGGGAUGUAAAAUAAUGCUCAGUUGCUGACCUCACAUACAGCAAACUGACCCAUUGUUUUCUAGGGAAAUUCAGCCAUGCAGAAAGGAAAUGCUCAGACAUCUAAAUAGCAAAACCAAAGCACUUAUGACCUUUUCUCCUGCCAAGAUCAAAGCAGCAACUUAUUUUCUCCUUUUUUCAAAUUUUAGUGACAUUAGCUAAUGUCACUGCUAAUGUCAACGUGCCAAGGUAUCUUGGUGCCAACUGAACAGCCAGGACUGGUAUUGCAAAGAUACUAAUGAUGUGCUGCUGCUGUCUCAAAGGGAUCCAUGCUGCCAGGCGCUUGUGAAGGACAAGGAAUAAUUUGUACUUUGCAUUGAGCCUUUCACUUGCUUGCAAAAGGUUGCCUGAGUGGAAUGGGACACACAUCAUAAGCUCAACACUUCUUUCAAAUUCCAAACAUACUUUCCUAACUCCACUUAUUACUAAAAUCAUGAUUUUAUCAUUCAAGAGCCCUAGCAAAUCAGCAGAGAAGAAUGUAAGAAAAUUCUACUACUGAGAUCCUAGCCUUGUUGUUCACAGGAAGUUAAAGCGAAACUCUUACAAGCAGAGCAGAGAUGCUUAACAGUCCUUGUGUGCUCACAAAGAAAAUAGAUUUUGUUUAUCAUUUAGAUCAAAAGAACAGGCAGAUUUUUAUUGAUUUUUGAGAUACAGCACUGAUCUUUGCCUCUGCGUCUAAUGGCUGUGAGCACUGGGUGCUACAGUAAUAGUGAGGAAAUAUAGCAAUUUUACACUGUUAAAUCUUUAUCUUGACUGUCUCUAAUUUAUCCAUCUUUAAUAAACCCCACUGCUCUGCAGCUGGUAACUAAAUCAGAGGCACAAGCACAACAUGAAGAGGACAAACUGAAGCCUUCUCCACAAGAUAUGAGGAAAGGACAUGACCUGCAAAUACACUGCCGAAAAGGCUGUGUAUAUCUUAAAUCUCAAUAAAUUGCUUAUUGUGGUGAUUUGGGAUAGCGUGGUGGCACAGCACUGAGUUUCAGCAAAGAAGGAGCUAUUCAGAUUAGCUGCUCUCCAGGGCUGUGGGCCCAGCUCCCUCAGGAUCCAAUGAAAAAAAGGAAUUUGUUCAUACAGUAUGAAUAGAGUUUCUGCAAGUGAAUCAAAAUCUAUUCAUAGUGAAUAGAAUCAUAGAAUCACUAAGGUUGGAAAAGACCACUAAAAUCUUCUAGUCCAACCAUCAACUCAUCCCCACCAUGCCCACUGAUCAUGUCCCUCAGUGUCACAUCUCCACAGUUCUGGAACACCUCCAGGGACAGUGACUACACCACCUUCCUGAGCAGCCUGUGCCACUGCAGCACCACUCCUGAGAAGAAAAUUUUCCUAAUAUCCAAUCUGAACAUCUCCUGGCACUACUUACAGCCAUUACCUCUUGACCUAUUGCUGUUACCUGGGAGAAUAGACCGACCUCCACCUCUUGUCUUGGUGGCAGUAUUUGAAUAGCUGGUCUUGCCAUUUGCUUCUUGACUUCUUUGGUUGAAAUGCCAGAAGAGACUUGUAAUCCCACUUUGUGCAGUCUAAAAUAUGACCAUAACUCUUUAUCUUCUGAAGCUACUGCAGCUACUGAAAAAGGGUAGUAAAUUACCAUCUGACAAUGGGAAAGGAAAAAUGCUGUUCUAGACUCUCUGCUUUCAAAAUGUUCUUCCUUACCUGAAAAGUUUACCUAGUUUAUUCAAUAUUCAUGCUUUUCAGACAUGAUGCCCUUGCUUCCUAUGUUCAAAUUGUAAGGAAGUAUUAUUGCCCAAUGCCAGAAACUUGCAACUAUUCUUUAAUACGCUAGGUGCACUGACAUAUUUGCACUCAGACUCUUACAUAAAUUUCAUUUUCCAUUGAAACAAAAGAUUGUACCUUUGCAGGUCAUGAGGUCACCAAAAAGCCAACUACUAUUUUGUUAAAUUAAAGAUCUGAAUUUGUUCUGCAACAGGAAGGUUUGAGGGAUUUCAUAGACAUGAAUCAACUUGGAUUUUUGAAAAUUGGGGUAUUUUUACUUCUCAUUUUACUGGCAUAACAGUGAAAGAUGUACUUCCAGAAGACAUAUUUGUAUAUCUAACUUCUCACUUUUCAUCACUGUCUAUAUGAUAACUGUGACUGCAGUUUUUUUGCACUGGUAAAAGAGAAUAUCAGUUGUGCAUCAGCUGUGCUCGUCAUAAGAGACUCUUAAGUCUUAGCCAAUGUGAAUACAGAGGAGUCUAUACUUUUGCACAGACAAAAGCUUCUGACCUUCUUUACUGGCAGAGUGAAAAUGAGUGUUAGCCUCCUUGCUCAGGCAGCAUUUCAUCCUAUGAGAUCAUUUUAGUUCCUUUUAAUAACUUGUAUUUGUUUUGUGAGGUAUUUAGGAAGCGUUGGCAGGUAGGGUGCAUGAGUGAAACUCUUUCUUAUGUUAGAGCUAUUUGGAAUAGAAGACAAUUGAGAUUAGCUGAUGACUGAGUAUUCUUAGGGAAUGAACUUCUCUCUUUGAAACUCUGAGCUCAUGUGUUACUACAUUUAACUCGCAGCUCUGUCAGGUUUACAACGGCACAGGGGCAUGCAGGGUGCACGAUGGCAGCAGCGAUGGGGGAUUCACUGGGUAACGCUGCAGGUGCACGUGUUGCUCAUGGCAGCAGCUCCAGCCAGAAAUGCUGCUUUUAUCGAGGUCAUAAAUCAUGUCAGCCCUCCUGAAUACAGUUUUUCAAAAGGGUGAAGCCAUGGCUUGUGUGCUGGAUAUUUAUCUUGCUCUUCCUAAUGCUUUCCCAAAAGCUCUCCUUGAAGGCGGUAAACAGUUCUUUUGGCCAUAAUUAGAACUAAUUGAUUGCUAGAGGGGUUUUAGACCUGUGUCAAACCAAAGGGACAGAGAUGGGAAGAGGAGGCUGAUUCCCAGGCUGUUUCCUUGGCCGUGUACGUGGGCACACAUCAUGGAAGGGAUGAGUUCUAUUGACCCAAGGCAGUGGUGCUCAGGUGUCUGGUGAGUGUGGUGGGAGCCUCUCUGUACUCUGCUGUGGCUGCAGAGACGAUGUGAGCUUUGAACACUCACUCCACGCUCUGCAAAGUGGCAAUGUGGCCCCUGCCAUCCCCGAGGCUGGGCUGAAAGCUCUGAAGUUUGCAGAGAAACAUGCUGCGUCAGGCACAACCAGGCUGGCCCCACAUAAAGUCAAUACUUGUGUGAAAACAAAUAAAAUCUUAGAGUACGAGGCAGAGGCUAAAGAAUGCCUUCACCUCUUUCCUUCAAGCAACUAUUUUGUUAACUUGAAAGACGGCAGGGGUGAUCUUACUCCAUUCUUUCUCUACAGGUCAAAUACUUGUCAUAGGAGACACCCUAGUUAAUAUUAAACUAAAAAUUAAUAGAUUAGAUAACUAUUAUAUGCUUUUAGUGCCAAUUAAUUUAAUAGCUGGUUUUUUUUGUUUUGUUUUGUUUUCUCUUUUUCUAGCAAGGUAGGUGAAUAUAGCAGCACAGUUUACUGUGUCUGUAUGAGCUCUCAGAUGGGUCUUUUGUGCUACAAUUACCACCAAUUGAUUGGACUGACACAUGUAAUCCCCUUUGGAUCACCCAACGAUAUGAUGUCAGUAAGAAGUCCUUCAAACAGACUAUUAAAAAGCACAUUAAACAUGUCCUUAUUGUAAGCUUUAUGCUAGCUUAUGCUAAAAUAACAGUGAUACAGUGGUAUUUGUUUGAAAAUGAAAGGAUUAUAUGGUCUUUGUAAAAUGAGGAAUUUAGUAUUGGGAGGGGCAGUGGGAUGGUGAUUUAUUUUUUGUUUAUGUUCUUCCGAAUCCUUUGAUAUGUCAACUUCUGUCACUAACCAUUAGGCCACUUGUAAUUUCUUGUAUCAACGAAGAUGAAAUACAUACUGCCUCCAAUAAUUUAUGUCAAAUAUUGAAGGGCAUGGAUGGUAGUGCUUAUUGUGAGAUUAUAAUGAGAAUUGAACUGGGGGCUUCAGAAAUCCAUAGGUAAUUUAUUGUUAAAGAGCACGCAUGAAUCACUCCGGCCUUUAAUUGUCAUGUGGAUGCAUUUUGCUUUCAGCUUGCGCUGGAAACAAAUUGCUGAAAUGGAAUGAUAACUCAGAAGAAAGAUUUCACCAUGACCCUUUGUACUUAUUAAUAUAGUGCCAAGAGUGUAAUGAGUGCCAUGCCUUCUCUUGGGUCAGAUUCUGGUGCGUAGUGAAAGGAAUGCCUUGAAAUUUGUAUUGCUUUUCAUGAAGAAGAAAAACAUAAACAGCAGCAUAUACACCUCGCAAGCAAGGGAUGAGAGUCAAAAAGAUUUGUGGUAUUUAUAAUACUGCACAAUAAAGGUGACCAGGGGAUUUUAUAGGAUGAUUUAACACUGAACUGUGCAAAGAAAUUAAGCCGUUCUGGAGAUUUCUUUGUAACGCACCAACAUCCUCAUCAUCCCUCUUUGCUCUGCUCUCUUUUUAUCUUACAACGUCAAGGUAACACUCCAAAGUGGUUAACCAACUGCUGUGCAUAUCUUACAUAGAUGUGCUGCUUUAGAUCAUGCUGCUGCUCCCAGAGAGAGAAAUUUCAUUGUUAACCCGAAUCUAGGUGUUUUUGUCAAAAAAAAUCAAAGCUACCAGAAAAUGGAUAUAAAUUAUUCGCAGGGUCUGGUUUUCUGACUGCUUUAAUAUCAUGUAAUCAAAGGACAGAUUACUCAAAAUUACUCCUCUUGAGUGCUUCAGUGUAGUCAUCACAGCACUUCUCUGCGACUACUUCACAGUUUCUCAUAAUGUAAGAAUUAGGGGCUACGCAGUGAAACUAGGAAACAGCAAGCUUAAAAUAUACAAAAAAAAAAAAAAGAAAGAAAAAAAAGGGGAUUUGAAAGCAUUUGAAAGCAGGAUGUGUGAUCAAAAUGAGGUACAACUUGACACAGAAAUUUAUGGAAGCCAAAAGUAUAAAGUGUAGAAGAAUUUAACAAAGUCACGAAGGAUAGAUUCUCUGGUGACUUUUAAGCUAAAUGGUCUUGAUGUGGUCACUGUUUUUAGGAGUCCAUUACCCAGAAUGACUAUGAAGAAUGAAUUACAUUUGGGAAGGAGAACUCUGAAUUUGAUCUAUCCAUUUGCUCUUCCCCUGCUGACCACUACCAGAGACAGGACUCUGGCGUAAACUGCCUUUAUGCUUUGUGGCUGCUCUUACAUCCAUAGAAAACUCUUGUAGCCAUUAUGAAUAAUGAAGUGUGUCUUUCACAGAAUCACAGAAUCGUACAGGUUGGAAGGGAGCUCUGGAGAUCAUCUAGUCCACCCUGACAACUCACCCACACCAUGCCCCCUAACCAUGCCCCUCAGUGCCACAUCUCCACAGUUCUUGAACACCUCCAGGGACGGUGACUCCACGACCUCCUUGGGCAGCCUGUGUAACUGCAGCACUGCUCUUUCUCAGAAGAAGUUUUUCCUAAUAUCCAACCUGAACCUCCACUGGCGCAACUUUACCUCUCAUGCUAUCACUAUGCUGUUACUCAGGAUAGUAAAGAGGCAGUACACGGAAGAUCUUUGAUGUUUCAUUCAAAUUAUUUAUGGAGGAGGAACUAUUUUCUAACAGAUUUUUUUUUUUUUACAUUAGUAUGCUGUAAAUUGCUUUGUCUAUGAAGAUAUCAGAGCACUUACCAAUCCAGAGUAGCUUUUCAUAGAAUACGUUCGCUACAAAUAGCUAUAGCACAGCCUAAACUGGACUGUUAGUUAAUCCCAGAUAAAAUCCAUCUCAGGUUCUCCUACAAAUAGCACAUGUUCAAGACCAAGCCCUGACACAUCAGUGAGUAAACCUCAAUAAGCUGCUUCAGGAUAGUGCCACUACAACAGCUUCAUAACACUUGCAAGUGCCAGUAAAGGAUGCCGAAGUGUUGGUUUGCCAGGACUGGAACAGAGCAGCGACCACAGGUGCUUAUUUUCCCUUUUUGUAGUUCAUCGGUGUCAUGCAACUGUUGGCUCAGUCAGCAGAUGUGUCAGCUCUUGGAAUAACAGCUACUUAUGUAGGUUAGGUACAGUGCCAAAAGGUAAGUGUUAUAAAGAGUAAAACUGUAAAGAAUUAUGAACAUAAAGCCUGUGAUAGUAAAGGUGACUCCUUAGCAUUAUGCGCCACAGCAACAUAUUUUACCAAGGGCAGGAAAAGUCAGCUUUAUUUUCACCCCGUCACAAGCCGUAAGUGCUGAGCUAUGUGCAAUUUCCUGUUGGAUUUAAAUAGACACAUUUCUGAGCCCUAAUUUUUACUCUUUUCAUCUCUAGUAAACAAAUUGCCAAUUAAUAAUUAUGAAUUGAUCUCACAUGGCACAAACCUGUGCAAAAUAAUGCAGUAUCCCACUACCAUGCUUUUGGUAGCACUGUGAGCACAUCUGUAUAGAAGUUAUAGUUCAGAAAGGAGGAAAGCCCAGCACAGGACCCAGAACAUGGUCAAGGACCAAGAGCACCUGACUCACAGGGAGAGGCUAAAGAAACGGUUUGUUUGGUCUGGCAAAGAGGAUAAGGGGUAAUGUAAUAGCACCUACUUGACAGGGAGUUACAAAAAAAUGACAUAGCCAAACCUUUCUCAAUGGUCCUAGACAAUGUAACAAGGGGCGAUGGCCACAGAGUGCAGCUUGGCAUGCUCAGGUUGGACAUUGGGAAAAAAUGCACUUGAAGAGUGUUGCAGCACUGGAACAGGUGCCCAAGAGGUUGUGGAAACUGUCCUUGGAGAACUUUAAGACUCAGUUAGAAGUUAAGCACAUCUGCAGCUGGCAAAUGUCCCAUGUCAUGUGGGAGUUGCAUGAGAGGCCUCCAGAUCUUCCUCCCAACCACCAUUUCUAUCUACUCUUUCAACUCUCUGCUUUAAUAAUUUAUACCUUAAAAGAGUGAUUUGCACCUCUGCUUUUUGCACACUCUUAAGUUGGCCUCUCAACCCUGGAGAUUUAGGGUAAGAAGUCAGUACUAUUUCUUCCUUUCAUUGUGCCUUGGAUGAAUCAAUGAAGUGGUCAUACUCAGAGGAUGUCUGCCAGGAGUGAGCAGUGUUGUGAGAAUGUGCUUGUGCUUGUGUAUAAAUCCAGCUGUCAUGCCACUAUCACUAACAGAAUGCUUCUGAUAUGCUCAGGAGCAGAACUUUAGGUGUCUGCUGCUGUCAGUCACUGGCGUGGUUAGACAGCAGUACAGUGUUCAUGGAGUUCAGAUUUUGGAUUUGGACAACUGAUGAGCUUGCUCAGCUCUGUGCUUUAGCGAGUAAUUUGGUUUAAAUUCUUAGGAAUUAAUGUUUAUGAAACCAGAUGUAACUGAGUCCCAGUGCCUUUGCUAUAUAAAUG
Long non-coding RNA from Gallus gallus (chicken), 36221 nucleotides. Lineage: Eukaryota; Metazoa; Chordata; Aves; Galliformes; Phasianidae. The record is from Ensembl.